GAAUGAACGGCUAAAUGAGGACAAAACUGUCUCUUACGGACUAGCCAAUGAAAUUGAUCCUUCAGUACAAAAGCUGAAAUUAACCCAUAAGACGAGAAGACCCUGUGGAGCUUCAAAACCAAAACCACUAAACAUGCCUCCUGGUUUUUUAGUUGGGGCGACUUUGGAGCAAAAAAAACCCUCCAAAACAUAAAUCUAUUUAUUAAGAACAACACACCAAAAAUAAUAUUAUAGACCCAGCAGUAUUAAUUUACUGUCUGAUCAAUGAACCAAGUUACCCCAGGGAUAACAGCGCUAUCCUCUUCUAGAGU
Molecule: ribosomal RNA, 311 nt
Filed under: Podarcis cretensis
Lineage: Eukaryota; Metazoa; Chordata; Lepidosauria; Squamata; Lacertidae
Description: partial large subunit ribosomal RNA
Rfam family: Bacterial large subunit ribosomal RNA
Source: RNAcentral